Non-coding RNA from Dermacentor albipictus, 2241 nucleotides. NCBI's taxonomy places the organism in Eukaryota, Metazoa, Arthropoda, Arachnida, Ixodida, Ixodidae. The record is from RefSeq and is a predicted model, not a curated record.
UGUAGUGGGUAUUAUUGUAGGAAUCACGGAGGCCACAGCAGCCGCACUAUUAUACAGACGGCGCUGGCGGCGCCGGUAUUUUCGUAUUCAACGCGACAGGUAGAAUACGAAGCUACGGCGUGUUGUUAUUGCUCCGUCUUCAACGGUUGUCGUGCGAGCUGCGUCGAUGUGUUUGUUUGACCGUGUGUUAUUAGGUUUGCUGUAAUGAAAUGAGACGUAGUUCGCGAGCACGAAAGUGCCAGAAGAUGGCUUGAGUCUCGCUGUAAGCACGCCGUAUGCGUGGCGCUCCAGCUAAAUGUGGACCAACGAUUUUCAUGCCAUGGAGUGCGUUCCCUUUGUCUCCGCUUGUGUUCGUGGAAAGUUUGGUGGACGGCGCAGAGAAGUAAUGCGUAUUAUUAGCGCGCCUCAGCUCGUCCACUACCCAGUGGCUUGUUUGCUGCAAGUAACAUCGCAGACGCAUCACUGGAAACUUGGAGAGUGCCUUUCGACCUCGUCGUACUGUUGAAACGUGGCGAGGCCGUGACCCACAACAUUAACUACAAGAUCGAGGAGCCCCAAGAAAUGCCGACCCUGUGGAUAUAUGGCAGCAGCAGCAUGGCGUGUGAUCUGGAUCGUCAUGACAGGUGUGUAUGAAAUGCUCCACCGUCGCCGUUACUAGACGGACCAAAUGAGGCCAAAAACUAGCCUUUCCUCGCUCCAUUCCUGGGAAGUGAAAUAGCAGGUGGUCAUGUAAGAAUGAACUUGCAACCAUGUGGGCAGUAGCCAAAGCUCCCUACAGUUCAUGCUGGUGGUGGAAUGAUAAGACAAACCGCAAUAUUUAUUUGUUUACUUAUUCACUUAAUAUUUAUUUAUUCAUAUCUCAUGAAUACUGUGCAGUUUUUUUAGCAAGGAGUCAGGUAAAAUAAAGAAAUAUUGUUGCAUCAAAGUAAACGUUAUUUGAAAAAGCAUAAUUCACGUAGCACGAAUUCAUGGAAACUGUAAAUUUUGAAGAAACAGAGCCGUAAGGUUAACAAAUCUUAUAUAACAAAAAAUGAGAUCACAUUUCUGUUGGACCUAAUACCAUAAUUUAAUCUGUCAAAUUAGAGAUACCAUAUGCUGCUCUAAUAUACAAUCACUAAUUUAUGAGUAGAUGCGCGAAACUCUCAAACGUUGCAACAAUUUCAUGCUAGCUGUAAAUUCAUAUAUACAGUUUGUUGACUUUAGACAUAGCAGAUGGAGUCUGCAGAACUAUGAUAUCUCUUUCUGGCACAGAGACGAGCAUUAGUAAGCUUCGUGGUGUUAUUUUUCUUAAACCUGCCAAAUAGUCCUUCCUGCAACAGGUAGAAUUCUCAAAUGCCGCAAACUUAAUUCAAAUUAGUGCUGUGGUUGUCUCAAAAGUAUUUCUGUAUUUUGGAUGUAUUUGAGUAGGAAAAUUUACAGAAUUAACGAACUUGUGCUAGCUCUUUUUUUUAUUUACAGCUGCAAACUAAGUCCUUUUCCUUCAAGUUUUGCUAUUUUCAGCAAAUUUUAAUAAAAAUUGAUGGUGUUAAUCUAAAAACUAUAAUUUAAACAUUUUUAAAUGUAUCAAACCUCAUCAAAUUUGGUUGCAUAGUUGCCGAGAAAAACGAUUUUACUGUUCAUGUGCAUUACAUAGGAGCUCCUGAGCUAGAUCUCUUUUUUAGUCAUUGCGUGUGUCGGUCUGGUUUGUAUUUCUCACCCUAAUUAGAAUAUUGGCUCUGAUCUCAAAAUUGUUUCCCUUACAACGAAAUACAAGCUUUUAAACUUUUUACGAUAUAUGCUGUACUGCUCUAUGAUAACCCCUGUUUGCCACAUUUUUGCAGGGCCUACCAGUGCUAAUUUUACACAUAAACAUAGACUAAAAUGCUGUGUGGUUUCGGUAUAUGGUGUACUUAUCUGUGAAAGCCAUUAUUUGCCACAUUUUUGCAGCGACUGCCAGUGUUAUUUUUGCUCAGACUAAAAUGCUGUGUCGUUUCGUCAGGCUGACACAACAUUGCAGUGCACAUUCAUAUCAGUCUAUUUUCAGGCUUUAGUAUCCAAACAUUUAAUGUGCACUGCUGGAACAGGCACUCCUUUUGCAGUUUUAAUGGUAUGGUUUCUUGUCCUAGUCAAGCCUGUUAUUGCGAGGUGUCAACUGUAAUCAAGUCUGCCACUGAUUCUUUUACCUCAUGUUUCGUGUGUUUGCACCACCAGCUUGACCUGAGAAGCAUGUUGGCAGCUACAGUUUGCGCGUUGCAAGUUCUA